ACCUGGCUGAUUCAGCUGGUGUAGCAUGAGACUCUUGAUCUCAGGGUUGUGGGUUUGAGCCCCAUGUUGGGUA
RNAcentral lists this transfer RNA (73 nucleotides) under Ailuropoda melanoleuca (giant panda). It matches the Rfam family "tRNA". From Rfam's summary of the family: Transfer RNA (tRNA) molecules are approximately 80 nucleotides in length. Their secondary structure includes four short double-helical elements and three loops (D, anti-codon, and T loops). The record is from Rfam by way of RNAcentral. Lineage: Eukaryota; Metazoa; Chordata; Mammalia; Carnivora; Ursidae.